Molecule: ribosomal RNA, 253 nt
Filed under: uncultured bacterium
Lineage: Bacteria
Description: partial 16S ribosomal RNA
Rfam family: Bacterial small subunit ribosomal RNA
Source: RNAcentral
UACGUAGGUGGCAAGCGCUGUCCGGAUUUACUGGGCGUAAAGAGCGCGCAGGCGGUCGUUUAAGUCGAAUGUGAAAGCCCCCGGCUCAACUGGGGAGGGUCAUUCGAUACUGAUCGACUUGAAGGCAGGAGAGGGAAGUGGAAUUCCGGGUGUAGUGGUGAAAUGCGUAGAUAUCCGGAGGAACACCGGUGGCGAAGGCGACUACCUGGCCUGUUCUUGACGCUGAGGCGCGAAAGCUAGGGGAGCAAACGGG